RNAcentral lists this ribosomal RNA (449 nucleotides) under uncultured bacterium. RNAcentral's name for it is "partial 16S ribosomal RNA". It matches the Rfam family "Bacterial small subunit ribosomal RNA", at positions 29 to 523 of the family's 1533-position model. The record is from RNAcentral.
AACGAACGCUGGCGGCAUGCCUAACACAUGCAAGUCGAACGAGAUCUUCGGGUCUAGUGGCGCACGGGCGCGUAACGCGUGGGAAUCUGCCCUUUGGCUCGGAAUAACAGUUGGAAACGACUGCUAAUACCGGAUGAUGACGAAAGUCCAAAGAUUUAUCGCCAGAGGAUGAGCCCGCGUAGGAUUAGCUAGUUGGUGUGGUAAAGGCGCACCAAGGCGACGAUCCUUAGCUGGUCUGAGAGGAUGAUCAGCCACACUGGGACUGAGACACGGCCCAAACUCCUACGGGAGGCAGCAGUGGGGAAUAUUGGACAAUGGGCGAGAGCCUGAUCCAGCAAUGCCGCGUGAGUGAUGAAGGCCUUAGGGUUGUAAAGCUCUUUUACCCGGGAUGAUAAUGACAGUACCGGGAGAAUAAGCUCCGGCUAACUCCGUGCCAGCCGCCGCCGUAA